Molecule: ribosomal RNA, 253 nt
Filed under: uncultured bacterium
Lineage: Bacteria
Description: partial 16S ribosomal RNA
Rfam family: Bacterial small subunit ribosomal RNA
Source: RNAcentral
UACGGGGGGGGCAAGCGUUGUUCGGAAUUACUGGGCGUAAAGGGCUUGUAGGUGGCCAACUAAGUCCGACGUGAAAUCCCUAGGCUUAACCUAGGAACUGCGUCGGAUACUGGAUGGCUUGAAUCCGGGAGAGGGAUGCGGAAUUCCAGGUGUAGCGGUGAAAUGCGUAGAUAUCAGGAGGAACACCUGUGGCGAAAGCGGCUCACUGGACCAUAACUGACGCUGAUGCACGAAAGCUAGGGGAGCAAACAGG